AGAUCAAGGUAUGAAGGGCGUACGGUGGAUGCCUUGGCACUAGGAGCCGAUGAAGGACGCGACGAACAGCGAUAUGCUUCGGGGAGCAGUAAGUAUGCUUUGAUCCGAAGAUUUCCGAAUGGGGGAACCC
RNAcentral lists this ribosomal RNA (130 nucleotides) under cotton phyllosphere bacterium D. Its description in RNAcentral is "partial 23S ribosomal RNA". It matches the Rfam family "Bacterial large subunit ribosomal RNA", at positions 1 to 129 of the family's 2925-position model. The record is from RNAcentral.